This 335-nucleotide unclassified non-coding RNA is filed under the name soil metagenome. RNAcentral describes it as "partial contains 5.8S ribosomal RNA, internal transcribed spacer 2, and large subunit ribosomal RNA". The stretch from base 1 to 119 matches the Rfam family "5.8S ribosomal RNA", at positions 35 to 154 of the family's 154-position model. The record is from RNAcentral.
GAUGAAGACGUAGCGAAAUGCGAUAAGUAAUGUGAAUUGCAGAAUUCAGUGAAUCAUCGAAUCUUUGAACGCACAUUGCGCCCGCCAGUAUUCUGGCGGGCAUGCCUGUUCGAGCGUCAUUUCAACCAUCAAGCCCCAGGCUUGUGUUGGGGACCUGCGGCUGCCGCAGGCCCUGAAAACCAGUGGCGGGCUCGCUGUCACACCGGGCGUAGUAGAUUUUAUCUCGCUCAGGGCGUGCUGCGGGUCCCGGCCGUUAAAAGCCUUUUUUUACCCAAGGUUGACCUCGGAUCAGGUAGGAAGACCCGCUGAACUUAAGCAUAUCAAUAAGCGGAGGA